ACAAGGAGUGUUCAGGUGGCUCAGAAGUGAGAAGAGAGGCAUAGAUCUCUCCUGGCUCUGACAGCUUCAGUUCAGCCUCCCACCUAUCCCAUCUCUGACAACCUGCUCUGACAGUCCCAGUGUGAGGAAAGUUGCUACAUUACCCUUGAGAAGAGAAUAACAUCCCCUACAAGCAGAAGCCAGCAGAACUUCCCAAAAGUUGUCUAAGGGUCUCUUGCUGGAGGAAAAAGGUCUGAAAAAAUUGAGGUUGCACAGUGGCUAUACCCAUGGAGAAGGAGAAAGGGGCGUAUCUCCAAGUAACUUUGGUCACAUCUCCCAAUGGAUAAAUCUAAUCACAGAAUGCCGGCGAUUGCAAGGGACCGUGAAGGAUCAUCUAGUCCAAUCCCUCUGCCAGAGCAGGAGCAUUUAAAUCAGGCCACACAGGAGUGUGUCUAGAAGUGUUGUGCUGAAUCCCUUUGGUGAAAAACACAGGCAACCAAGCCAAGGGGGAGGAAAAGGACGGGGCACACAGCCUCAUAAAAUACUCAACAGCUCGCUGAACAGGUGAUGAGGGCGAUGUGUAGGUGUCACAAACCGGCUUUACAGAAACAAGGCUAGGAAACCCCGCCGAGGCUUCCCGGGUGGUGCAAUGCUGCCACCUGGCGGCCUCCCGCUGCCUCCUCCCGCUUGGCUCCGCUCGUUCCGCUGCUCCGCGCCUGACUGGGGGCUGCGUCAGGCUGAGAGCGGCGCUGCCAGCAGGGGGCUGUAGAGUAACGAGGGCUAAGAACGGAGAGACCCAGAGGGCCCUGCCUGCCUCGGUCACGCCGUCGUUCUUUGAAGAGUCUCUUUAGCCAUGUGGAUGUUUACUGCAUCAUCUACAUUUUUUUUUUAAGUAUACGCGGUUUAUUGCACGUACGCAUAUUUAUCACCUUUCCCCCUCCGUACAGAGAGCCCUUCAUCCACCUUCCAUCCUCCUCCUGCCUGAGAUGGCUUAGGGAUCCAAUCUCUGGAUUUGGGGAUGCUAUCUACACAGUAACCUUUGCUGAAGUUUACAUUUUCCACGCUGCACCGUUCCUUUAGGAGUGGUGGAUUUUGAGACAAGGGUGUAUUAUGCAGAGGAAGGAUGAGCCCAAACACAUCAUUCACCUUUCUCAAGACUGCAGAAGCCAGUAAGGAAAAAGGAAAAACUAAGAACUAACAGGGUUUCUCUUUCAUUCUUUUGUGGAACUCGUUAUUGUAAUCACUGGGAGUGCUUAACAGUGAGGAGAGGGGUGGAGGGGUAGAGAGGGAGGAUUCACGGGUAGGAAGCAUGAACUUAUUAAUUAACUUGUGGAAAAAAGAAAAAGUGCGGGGCACCUUUAGUAGCCCUCUGUCUACAAGGAUCAAUAUAAACAAGUCAGAUGUAUGCUCUCAAGUCUCAUUUCCUCACUUACAGACAAAAGAUGGAAGAACAGCAGAGAAAAGAUGAUUUCUAGGGCUGGACCAGCCAUUCAUAGGCUAAGACAGGAGAAGAUAGAAAUUUUCAUACAGAUUCUGCAGGACAUGGUCACUUCAAGCCCUGCCUUCCCACCUCCACUGCCUGUCACUGAUACAAACCUUGUCCUGAGCCAGGGGAUGCCACAGCGCUGUCCCUGUGUGCUCCCUUAUGUCCCCACUGACCCCUAUCACUAUCUCCAAACCCAUCCGCACCUAAUCUCUCCUAACACCUUCUUUAAUCUCAUCUAAAUAGCUGCUGGCAAACCCUCUAAUUCUGCUUGUUAAUGCUCCAGCCUCUGUGCUCACACUCCCUGCUAACACAAAGCUGGGUCCUUUUACAGAUGAAAGAGCCUUAUUGCCAGGCCACAAGUCACACGUCUCCAGGCGUGGUGGGAAUUAAUGGCCUCCAGAUAAAGUAGGAGGUGGGAUUUAGUAGCAUGGCAGGGAAGAAGUGCUUGGGUAAGAAUCAGAUUUUCUGUUGCUGAAAUAAAUCCUGUACAUAUGUGGAAGAAGAUGAUAUCCAAAUCUAGAUUUACAGAAUACUUAAACAUGCAGCACUCCUGCAAGCUUUGAGACAUUGGUUGGGGAACAAGACUAAAUCAACAAAGCCCCAGCUAGCAGAGUAAAUUAGGGAAACAAAGCACAACACAAACGUCUUCUCUCCCCCUCCACCGCCCCCUCUAAACCCUCCAUUUUGGCAUGUUUCAGAACUGUCUAAACUUUCUCCUGUGAU
Molecule: long non-coding RNA, 2188 nt
Organism: Lagopus muta (rock ptarmigan)
Lineage: Eukaryota; Metazoa; Chordata; Aves; Galliformes; Phasianidae
Exons: 5
Source: RefSeq, a predicted model, not a curated record